RNAcentral lists this unclassified non-coding RNA (287 nucleotides) under Hevea brasiliensis (rubber tree). Lineage: Eukaryota; Viridiplantae; Streptophyta; Magnoliopsida; Malpighiales; Euphorbiaceae. The record is from RNAcentral.
GGCAUAUGAGAGGCCUUUCUUUACACAGUCGUAAUGCUAGCAGCUCUCGCAGUGGGAGCAUAGAUUUCAAUGAGUCAUGAAGGAAUGGCGUGAAGAAGUGUCUGGGAGUGUGCGAUUUUAUUUAUUUUCACUUCAACUCAUUAUUUGUAAAGUUGAGUCCUUUUUCUUCUUUUCUUUCUUGGUCUUCUUUCUUUUCGAUGAGUUUGAUGUCUUUAAAUUAAUGUGUAAGGGCCAGGGACUUCUGCAUAUAUCCUUCAUUCCAUUCGUGUAUAAUUUUGUAAUUUAAA